GACGAACGCUGGCGGCGUGCUUAACACAUGCAAGUCGAACGGUGAAGCGCCUUCCUUUUUGGUGGGUGUGGUUGAGUGGCGAACGGGUGAGUAACACGUGAGUAACCUGCCCCCUUCUACAGGUUAACCGCAUGAAAGUGUAGCUAAUACAGGAUCUCCUGGUUCUGUCUGAUGAUGGGUCUGUGACAGCUAUUGUUUCGGUGGGGGCUGGGCUCGCGGUGUAUCAGCUUGUUGGUGGGGUGAUGGCCUACCAAGGCGGUGACGGGUAGCCGGCCUGGGAGGGUGGCCGGUCUGAGUGGGUGAGAGACACGGCCGAGACUGAGACGGGGGGCAGAAGUGGGGGGUAGUGAACAAUGGGCGAAAGCCUGAUGCAGCGACGACGCGGGAGGGAUGGAGGCGUGCGGGUGGUGAACGUCUUUCGCCAGUGAAGCAGGCCUGCCUCGUAUGUGGGUGGGUUGACGGUAGUUGGAGAAGAAGCGCCGGCUAACUACGUG
This 494-nucleotide ribosomal RNA is filed under the name uncultured bacterium. RNAcentral's name for it is "partial 16S ribosomal RNA". It matches the Rfam family "Bacterial small subunit ribosomal RNA", at positions 28 to 507 of the family's 1533-position model. The record is from RNAcentral.